GAUGAACGCUGGCGGCGUGCCUAAUACAUGCAAGUCGAGCGAACUAGAAGAAAAGCUUGCUUUUCUUCUAGUUAGCGGCGGACGGGUGAGUAACACGUGGGCAACCUACCUUGUAGAUUGGGAUAACUCCGGGAAACCGGGGCUAAUACCGAAUAAUCCAUUUUGCUUCAUGGCGAGAUGUUGAAAGACGGUUUCGGCUGUCACUACAAGAUGGGCCCGCGGCGCAUUAGCUAGUUGGUAGGGUAAUGGCCUACCAAGGCGACGAUGCGUAGCCGACCUGAGAGGGUGAUCGGCCACACUGGGACUGAGACACGGCCCAGACUCCUACGGGAGGCAGCAGUAGGGAAUCUUCCACAAUGGACGAAAGUCUGAUGGAGCAACGCCGCGUGAGUGAAGAAGGUUUUCGGAUCGUAAAACUCUGUUGUAAGGGAAGAACACGUACGAGAGUAACUGCUCGUACCUUGACGGUACCUUAUUAGAAAGCCACGGCUAACUACGUG
This 500-nucleotide ribosomal RNA is filed under the name uncultured bacterium. Its description in RNAcentral is "bacterial SSU rRNA". It matches the Rfam family "Bacterial small subunit ribosomal RNA", at positions 28 to 507 of the family's 1533-position model. The record is from RNAcentral.